GCUAUGUUGGCCGGGCGACGGUUGUCCCGGUUUAAGCGUGUAGGCUGGUUUUCCAGGCAAAUCCGGAAAAUCAAGGCUGAGGCGUGAUGACGAGGCACUACGGUGCUGAAGCAACAAAUGCCCUGCUUCCAGGAAAAGCCUCUAAGCAUCAGGUAACAUCAAAUCGUACCCCAAACCGACACAGGUGGUCAGGUAGAGAAUACCAAGGCGCUUGAGAGAACUCGGGUGAAGGAACUAGGCAAAAUGGUGCCGUAACUUCGGGAGAAGGCACGCUGAUAUGUAGGUGAAGUCCCUCGCGGAUGGAGCUGAAAUCAGUCGAAGAUACCAGCUGGCUGCAACUGUUUAUUAAAAACACAGCACUGUGCAAACACGAAAGUGGACGUAUACGGUGUGACGCCUGCCCGGUGCCGGAAGGUUAAUUGAUGGGGUCAGCGCAAGCGAAGCUCUUGAUCGAAGCCCCGGUAAACGGCGGCCGUAACUAUAACGGUCCUAAGGUAGCGAAAUUCCUUGUCGGGUAAGUUCCGACCUGCACGAAUGGCGUAAUGAUGGCCAGGCUGUCUCCACCCGAGACUCAGUGAAAUUGAACUCGCUGUGAAGAUGCAGUGUACCCGCGGCAAGACGGAAAGACCCCGUGAACCUUUACUAUAGCUUGACACUGAACAUUGAGCCUUGAUGUGUAGGAUAGGUGGGAGGCUUUGAAGUGUGGACGCCAGUCUGCAUGGAGCCGACCUUGAAAUACCACCCUUUAAUGUUUGAUGUUCUAACGUGGACCCGUGAUCCGGGUUGCGGACAGUGUCUGGUGGGUAGUUUGACUGGGGCGGUCUCCUCCUAAAGAGUAACGGAGGAGCACGAAGGUUGGCUAAUCCUGGUCGGACAUCAGGAGGUUAGUGCAAUGGCAUAAGCCAGCUUGACUGCGAGCGUGACGGCGCGAGCAGGUGCGAAAGCAGGUCAUAGUGAUCCGGUGGUUCUGAAUGGAAGGGCCAUCGCUCAACGGAUAAAAGGUACUCCGGGGAUAACAGGCUGAUACCGCCCAAGAGUUCAUAUCGACGGCGGUGUUUGGCACCUCGAUGUCGGCUCAUCACAUCCUGGGGCUGAAGUAGGUCCCAAGGGUAUGGCUGUUCGCCAUUUAAAGUGGUACGCGAGCUGGGUUUAGAACGUCGUGAGACAGUUCGGUCCCUAUCUGCCGUGGGCGCUGGAGAACUGAGGGGGGCUGCUCCUAGUACGAGAGGACCGGAGUGGACGCAUCACUGGUGUUCGGGUUGUCAUGCCAAUGGCACUGCCCGGUAGCUAAAUGCGGAAGAGAUAAGUGCUGAAAGCAUCUAAGCACGAAACUUGCCCCGAGAUGAGUUCUCCCUGACCCUUUAAGGGUCCUGAAGGAACGUUGAAGACGACGACGUUGAUAGGCCGGGUGUGUAAGCGCAGCGAUGCGUUGAGCUAACCGGUACUAAUGAACCGUGAGGCUUAACCUUACAACGCCGAAGGUGUUU
This 1487-nucleotide ribosomal RNA is filed under the name Escherichia coli. RNAcentral describes it as "partial 23S ribosomal RNA". It matches the Rfam family "Bacterial large subunit ribosomal RNA", at positions 1481 to 2925 of the family's 2925-position model. The record is from RNAcentral. Lineage: Bacteria; Pseudomonadati; Pseudomonadota; Gammaproteobacteria; Enterobacterales; Enterobacteriaceae.